GCGAGAGUGGCGGAAUCGGCAGACGCGCACGUUUGAGGGGCGUGUGUUAAUCACGUACGGGUUCAAGUCCCGUCUCUCGCACCA
Molecule: transfer RNA, 84 nt
Filed under: Clostridiales bacterium
Lineage: Bacteria; Bacillati; Bacillota; Clostridia; Eubacteriales
Description: tRNA-Leu
Rfam family: tRNA
About the family: Transfer RNA (tRNA) molecules are approximately 80 nucleotides in length. Their secondary structure includes four short double-helical elements and three loops (D, anti-codon, and T loops).
Source: RNAcentral